Molecule: ribosomal RNA, 253 nt
Filed under: uncultured bacterium
Lineage: Bacteria
Description: partial 16S ribosomal RNA
Rfam family: Bacterial small subunit ribosomal RNA
Source: RNAcentral
UACGUAGGCCCCAAGCGUUAUCCGGAAUUACUGGGUGUAAAGCGUCUGUAGGUGGGAUUAUAAGUCUCUCAUGAAAGACCGGAGCUCAACUCCGUGUUUGUGAGAGAUACUGUAGUUCUAGAAUCGGGGAGAGGGAAGCAGAAUUGUAUGAGUAGGGGUGCAAUCCGUUGAUACAUACAAGAAUACCAAAAGCGAAGGCAGCUUCCUGGAACCGUAUUGACACUGAGAGACGAAAGCGUGGGGAGCGAAAAGG